Molecule: transfer RNA, 70 nt
Filed under: Loxodonta africana (African savanna elephant)
Lineage: Eukaryota; Metazoa; Chordata; Mammalia; Proboscidea; Elephantidae
Rfam family: tRNA
About the family: Transfer RNA (tRNA) molecules are approximately 80 nucleotides in length. Their secondary structure includes four short double-helical elements and three loops (D, anti-codon, and T loops).
Source: Rfam by way of RNAcentral
GCACUGGUAGAUCGUGAUAGAAUUCUCGCCUUCCGAGUGGGAGACCCAGGUUUAAUUUCUGGCCAAUGCA